RNAcentral lists this non-coding RNA (39 nucleotides) under Echinostoma caproni. The record is from RNAcentral. Lineage: Eukaryota; Metazoa; Platyhelminthes; Trematoda; Plagiorchiida; Echinostomatidae.
AUUUUGACGAGUUCCAAAUAGGACGAAACAGCUGUCAAU